RNAcentral lists this ribosomal RNA (400 nucleotides) under uncultured bacterium. RNAcentral's name for it is "bacterial SSU rRNA". It matches the Rfam family "Bacterial small subunit ribosomal RNA", at positions 355 to 747 of the family's 1533-position model. The record is from RNAcentral.
UCGAGAAUCAUUCGCAAUGGGCGAAAGCCUGACGAUGCGACGCCGUGUGGACGAUGAAGGCCUUCGGGUUGUAAAGUCCUUUCGCCAGGGAACAAGAGAGAGUAACUAAUAAUUGCUCAAUUUGAGGGUACCUGGUAAAGAAGCACCGGCUAACUCCGUGCCAGCAGCUGCGGUAAUACGGAGGGUGCAAGCAUUAAUCGGAUUUAUUGGGUGUAAAGAGCAUGUAGGCGGGUAAGCAAGUCAGAUGUGAAAUUUCGAAGCUCAACUUCGAAGCUGCAUUUGAAACUACUUAUCUUGAGGGUAGACGGAGAAAACGGAAUUCCAAGUGUAGCGGUGAAAUGCGUAGAUAUUUGGAAGAACACCGGUGGCGAAAGCGGUUUUCUAGUUUAUUCCUGACGCU